RNAcentral lists this ribosomal RNA (479 nucleotides) under uncultured bacterium. Its description in RNAcentral is "bacterial SSU rRNA". It matches the Rfam family "Bacterial small subunit ribosomal RNA", at positions 28 to 497 of the family's 1533-position model. The record is from RNAcentral.
GAUGAACGCUAGCUACAGGCUUAACACAUGCAAGUCGAGGGGCAGCAUGAACUUAGCUUGCUAAGUUUGAUGGCGACCGGCGCACGGGUGAGUAACACGUAUCCAACCUGCCGAUGACUCGGGGAUAGCCUUUCGAAAGAAAGAUUAAUACCCGAUGGCAUAGUUCUUCCGCAUGGUGGCACUAUUAAAGAAUUUCGGUCAUCGAUGGGGAUGCGUUCCAUUAGGUUGUUGGCGGGGUAACGGCCCACCAAGCCUUCGAUGGAUAGGGGUUCUGAGAGGAAGGUCCCCCACAUUGGAACUGAGACACGGUCCAAACUCCUACGGGAGGCAGCAGUGAGGAAUAUUGGUCAAUGGACGAGAGUCUGAACCAGCCAAGUAGCGUGAAGGAUGACUGCCCUAUGGGUUGUAAACUUCUUUUAUACGGGAAUAAAGUGAGGCACGUGUGCCUUUUUGUAUGUACCGUAUGAAUAAGGAUCGGC